Molecule: ribosomal RNA, 493 nt
Filed under: uncultured bacterium
Lineage: Bacteria
Description: partial 16S ribosomal RNA
Rfam family: Bacterial small subunit ribosomal RNA
Source: RNAcentral
ACGAACGCUGGCGGCGUGCUUAACACAUGCAAGUCGAACGGUGAAGCGCCUUCCUUUUUGGUGGGUGUGGAUGAGUGGCGAACGGGUGAGUAACACGUGAGUAACCUGCCCCCUUCUUCUGGAUAACCGCAUGAAAGUGUGGCUAAUACGGGAUAUUCUGGGUCUGUCGCAUGAUGGGUCUGGGAAAGAUAUUGUUUCGGUGGGGGAUGGGCUCGCGGCCUAUCAGCUUGUUGGUGGGGUGAUGGCCUACCAAGGCGGUGACGGGUAGCCGGCCUGAGAGGGUGGACGGUCACACUGGGACUGAGACACGGCCCAGACUCCUACGGGAGGCAGCAGUGGGGAAUAUUGCACAGUGGGCGCAAGCCUGAUGCAGCGACGCCGCGUGAGGGAUGGAGGCCUGCGGGUUGUGAACCUCUUUCGCCAGUGAAGCAGGCCUGCCUCGUUUGUGGGUGGGUUGACGGUAGCUGGAUAAGAAGCGCCGGCUAACUACGUG